Molecule: long non-coding RNA, 721 nt
Organism: Hydra vulgaris (swiftwater hydra)
Lineage: Eukaryota; Metazoa; Cnidaria; Hydrozoa; Anthoathecata; Hydridae
Source: RefSeq, a predicted model, not a curated record
AUAAGAAGUGAAUUUAUUAGACUUACUCAAAAUAAAAGAAACCAGUUUAGGCAAGCUGAGAUAAAUUGUCGUCUAUUAAAAGAGAUGAGCCUAGGCGAGCUGAGAUAAGUUAUAAUGAAAAUGAAAAAAAUAAGGCUAGGCGAGAACUUAUAUGCAUCACAUAGCAAAUUCCAAUUACCAAAUGCUUGCUGUUAAAAUUUUCCAGGAAAAUAUUUUCUAUAUAAUUUUAAUAAACUUUUAAAACAUUUAGUUUAAAGAACUUCUAACGAAAGAUUUUGACUAUUUUUAACAAUCCUCUCAAAAAGGCAUCAGCAGCAGACAUCUUGCAAUGCUUUUUUAGCUUAUUACAGAUCAAAUAGAGGGUCUACUCUCAUACAGAUUAUUCAGAUGACGUGUUUGUUCAAUAUAGACAUACAAUUGAAAACUAUUAAAAAUUGUUGUUUUAUUAAUUUGUUAAUAAAUGUGCAAACAAAAACAUCUUUAACUUUACAAAAUUAUUGAGAAUUUUUUUGAAACCACAAUCCGUCAUGAUUCGUAUUUUAUCUGUGUAAACAAAAGCAUAUGCAAAUAUAUGACUUUAACUUCAAAGUAUGUAAAUUAUAAAAAAGUUAGAAUUUGUUGCGUCUGUGUCAUGAUAGAGUUUAAGGUUUAAAUGUGCUUAUUAAUAGAUUAACUGUACAUAUGAAAGAGGCAAUUUUCUUUUUUAUAGGAAAAAGAUAUU